This 254-nucleotide ribosomal RNA is filed under the name uncultured bacterium. Its description in RNAcentral is "partial 16S ribosomal RNA". It matches the Rfam family "Bacterial small subunit ribosomal RNA", at positions 524 to 776 of the family's 1533-position model. The record is from RNAcentral.
UACGUAGGUGGCAAGCGUUUGUCCGGAAUUAUUGGGCGUAAAGCGCGCGCAGGCGGUCCUUUAAGUCUGAUGUGAAAGCCCACGGCUCAACCGUGGAGGGUCAUUGGAAACUGGAGGACUUGAGUACAGAAGAGGAAAGCGGAAUUCCACGUGUAGCGGUGAAAUGCGUAGAGAUGUGGAGGAACACCAGUGGCGAAGGCGGCUUUCUGGUCUGUAACUGACGCUGAGGCGCGAAAGCGUGGGGAGCAAACAGG